AUUGAACGCUGGCGGCAUGCUUUACACAUGCAAGUCGAGCGGUAACAGGGUGCUUGCACCGCUGACGAGUGGCGAACGGGUGAGUAAUGCGUCGGAACGUGCUGAGGAGUGGGGGAUAACGCAGCGAAAGUUGUGCUAAUACCGCAUACGUACUGAGGUAGAAAGUGGGGGACCUUCGGGCCUCACGCUAUUCGAGCGGCCGACGUCUGAUUAGCUAGUAGGUGAGGUAAAGGCUCACCUAGGCGACGAUCAGUAGCGGGUCUGAGAGGAUGAUCCGCCACACUGGGACUGAGACACGGCCCAGACUCCUACGGGAGGCAGCAGUGGGGAAUUUUGGACAAUGGGCGAAAGCCUGAUCCAGCCAUGCCGCGUGUCUGAAGAAGGCCUUCGGGUUGUAAAGGACUUUUGUCAGGGAGGAAAUCCCUAGUGCUAAUAACACUGGGGGAUGACAGUACCUGAAGAAUAAGCACCGGCUAACUACGUGCCAGCAGCCGCGGUAA
RNAcentral lists this ribosomal RNA (500 nucleotides) under uncultured bacterium. Its description in RNAcentral is "partial 16S ribosomal RNA". It matches the Rfam family "Bacterial small subunit ribosomal RNA", at positions 30 to 523 of the family's 1533-position model. The record is from RNAcentral.